Molecule: non-coding RNA, 407 nt
Organism: Arachis ipaensis
Lineage: Eukaryota; Viridiplantae; Streptophyta; Magnoliopsida; Fabales; Fabaceae
Source: RefSeq, a predicted model, not a curated record
AUAGUCAAUCACAACAAGAAUGAAUUCUAACUACAAUUGAAUGUAAAGAAUUAACAACAACAAUCAAGGAAAUCACAAUUAUCAUGAAUUACCUCAAAUUGCAUUAUUGAAAGAAAAUAGAGAGAACAAGAGUAUCUCAAUUACAAAAUCUAGAAACAAAAUAAGAGAAAUUACAACAAGAGAAUAGGGAUAGAGAGAAGGACCAAAGUGUGGCAAUUAUCAAUUGAAGGUAGAAGUAGAAGAAGACUUGAAUUAAAUCUAGAACUAUGAGAUCCUAAUCUAACCCUAAUUCCUAAUCCUAAUUCUAGAGAGAAGGGAGAGCUUCUCUCUCUAACUCUAACUAUUUCUAAAACUAAACUACGACUAAUGAUUAAAAGUGUCUAAAUGUAUGAUAAGUAUGUUGAUUC